Molecule: ribosomal RNA, 2277 nt
Filed under: Triticum aestivum (bread wheat)
Lineage: Eukaryota; Viridiplantae; Streptophyta; Magnoliopsida; Poales; Poaceae
Description: partial small subunit ribosomal RNA
Source: RNAcentral
AUGGGGCGAGCCCAACAACAAACACUGACACAAGGAGAACACCACCCGGUUCCCAGACCAGACCAACUCCUCCUCCCUCCCUUCCUCUCUCCCCGCCCCCACUCCUCCUUCCCUCCCGGGGAGGACAGGACAGCAGAGCCCGUCCACCACCAACCCACCGCCACCCGCGUCGCCAUGGCGCAGCCCGGGCGAGGACGGGACCCGGAGCUGUUCGCGGAGCUGUGGCGCGCCUGCGCCGGGCCGCUGGUGGAGGUGCCGCAGCGCGGCGAGAGGGUCUUCUACUUCCUCCAGGGCCACCUGGAGCAGCUGCAAGAGCCGACGGACUCGGCGCUGCUGGCCGAGCAAAUCAAGAUGUUCCAGGUGCCCUACAAGAUCCUCUGCAAGGUCGUCAACGUCGAGCUCAAGGCCGAGGCGGAGACGGACGAGGUGUACGCCCAGAUCACCCUGCAGCCGGAAUCUGACCAAGACAACCUGCCCCUCAUCUGCGACCCAAUUCUGCCGGAGACGCCCCGGCCAGUGGUGCACACCUUCUGCAAGAUCCUGACGCCGUCCGACACCAGCACCCACGGCGGCUUCUCCGUGCUCCGCCGCCACGCCAACGAGUGUCUCCCGCCGCUGGACAUGGCGAUGCCGACACCGACUCAGGAGAUCAUCUCCAAGGACCUCCAUGGAUCUGAGUGGAGGUUUAAGCACAUCUACAGAGGUCAACCCCGCAGGCACCUUCUGACGACCGGAUGGAGCACAUUCGUCACAUCAAAGAAGCUGAUGGCUGGCGAUGCCUUUGUCUACCUAAGGAGUGAGACAGGAGAGCAGCGUGUCGGAGUGAGGCGCCUUGUGCAGAAGCAAAGCACGAUGCCGGCGUCCGUUAUAUCAAGCCAGAGCAUGCAUCUCGGGGUGCUUGCAAGUGCAUCUCAUGCUCUCAAGACCAACUCCAUUUUCGUGGUCUACUACAGGCCCAGGUUAAGCCAGAGCCAGUACAUUGUCAGCGUGAACAAGUACCUUCAAGCUAGUAAGACUGGAUUUACUGUGGGCAUGAGGUUCAGGAUGAACUUCGAAGCAGAAGAUGUCCCUGUGAAGAAGUUUUUUGGGACUAUAGUUGGUGAUGGUGAUCUUUCUCCACAGUGGUCAGGUUCUGAAUGGAAGUCACUCAAGGUCCAAUGGGAUGACUCGGUCGCAAUUUGCAACGGCCCUGAGAGGGUUUCUCCUUGGGAAAUUGACUCAUCUGAUGGCUCCUCGCCUGCCAUCAGUGCACUGCUGCAAUCAUCGGCGAAGAACAAGCGUCCAAGGGAGACAAAUGAAAACUUUGAUCUUCCAUCACAGGAGCCGACUCAGGAGUUUUGGCUGUCUGGAAUGACACAGCAGCAUGAGAGGACAUAUGUUGGUUCUAGUGACCCCAACCGUAUCUCUGGGUAUCAUCAAAUUCUUUGGCCAAGCAGUGAACCCGCAGGGUAUGGUGCCAUGAGCAGCAGUUCGGUUUGUCAAACUCCAUUGGGGCUUGGUGAUGGUUGGCCCAAGGAUUUCAACCCUUCAAGCCAGGGGAUCUCUCCUACCCUGUCAGAGAUUACUCAGAAGCUGAAUCGGGUUGCCAGCAGUGAAGGAAGAACUCCUCCUCCUUGGGCUACUGCACUUUGUGGUGGUUACCGGGCUGAGGAACCUACUUCCAAGCUGUCCUGCAACACUACUCUGCCUCUGCCUGAACAGGUUGCACCAUAUCUGCCCAAAGUAGCUGAAAAGGCUAAGGAACCCGGUGUGGUUCGUCUGUUUGGUGUGAAUUUGAUGGAGAACACCAACAAUGCUGCUGCUCCUACUGCUGGCAACGCAAGUGCCGGAGCCGGAGAAACUUCAGCCAGAGUUGCUGGUUCUGUUGAAGGCUCUGGUCAGCUGUCAGCAUUUUCAAAAGUAACAAAAGUCGCGAACGAGAGCCCCCGAGAAAUCCAAAGCCAACAGAAUAAUGCUGGAAGGAACCGUGUGAAGGUUCAAAUGCAUGGAAAUGCUGUGGGUAGAGCUGUGGAUCUAGCAAGUCUGGAUGGGUAUGAGGGGCUGACCAGUGAACUGGAACAGAUGUUCGAGAUAAAGGACAUCAAACAGAACUUUAAAGUGGCAUUCACCGACAACGAAGGUGACACCAUGAAAGUCGGAGAUGAUCCCUGGAUGGAGUUUUGCCGUAUGGUGAGGAAGAUAGUGAUCUAUCCCAUUGAAGAUGACAAGAACAUGGAUCCUCGUCAGACGUCGGUCUUAGCUGCUGCUCCAGAUCCGGAUCCCAAGGCUAACCUUUAG